UACGGGGGGGGCAAGCGUUGUUCGGAAUUACUGGGCGUAAAGGGCUCGUAGGCGGCCAACUAAGUCAGACGUGAAAUCCCCAGGCUCAACCUGGGAACUGCGUCUGAUACUGGAUGGCUUGAAUCCGGGAGAGGGAUGCAGAAUUCCAGGUGUAGCGGUGAAAUGCGUAGAUAUCUGGAGGAAUACCGGUGGCGAAGGCGGCAUCCUGGACCGACAUUGACGCUGAGGCGCGAAAGCCAGGGGAGCAAACGGG
RNAcentral lists this ribosomal RNA (253 nucleotides) under uncultured bacterium. RNAcentral describes it as "partial 16S ribosomal RNA". It matches the Rfam family "Bacterial small subunit ribosomal RNA", at positions 524 to 776 of the family's 1533-position model. The record is from RNAcentral.